Molecule: ribosomal RNA, 492 nt
Filed under: uncultured bacterium
Lineage: Bacteria
Description: partial 16S ribosomal RNA
Rfam family: Bacterial small subunit ribosomal RNA
Source: RNAcentral
AGUGAACGCUGGCGGUAGGCCUAACACAUGCAAGUCGAACGGCAGCACAGUAAGAGCUUGCUCUUACGGGUGGCGAGUGGCGGACGGGUGAGGAAUACAUCGGACUCUACUUUUUCGUGGGGGAUAACGUAGGGAAACUUACGCUAAUACCGCAUACGACCUACGGGUGAAAGCAGGGGAUCUUCGGACCUUGCGCGAUUGAAUGAGCCGAUGUCGGAUUAGCUAGUUGGCGGGGUAAAGGCCCACCAAGGCGACGAUCCGUAGCUGGUCUGAGAGGAUGAUCAGCCACACUGGAACUGGGACACGGACCAGACUCCUACGGGAGGCAGCAGUGGGGAAUAUUGGACAAUGGGCGCAAGCCUGAUCCAGCCAUACCGCGUGGGUGGAGAAGGCCUUCGGGUUGUAAAGCCCUUUUGUUGGGAAAGAAAAGCAGCAGGUUAAUACCCCGCUGUUCUGACGGUACCCAAAGAAUAAGCACCGGCUAACUUCGUG